GACGAACGCUGGCGGCGUGCUUAACACAUGCAAGUCGAACGAAGAGCGAUGGAAGCUUGCUUCUGUCAAUCUUAGUGGCGAACGGGUGAGUAACGCGUAAUCAACCUGCCCUUCAGAGGGGGACAACAGUUGGAAACGACUGCUAAUACCGCAUACGAUCUAAUCUCGGCAUCGAGGAUAGAUGAACGGUGGCCUCGACAUGUAAGCUAUCGCUGAAGGAGGGGGUUGCGUCUGAUUAGCUAGUUGGAGGGGUAACGGCCCACCAAGGCGAUGAUCAGUAGCCGGUCGGAGAGGAUGAACGGCCACAUUGGGACUGAGACACGGCCCAGACGCCUACGGGAGGCAGCAGGGGGGAAUCUGCCGCAAGAGACGAAAGUCUGACGGAGCAACGCCGCGUGAGUGAGGACGGCCGUCGGGUUGUAAAGCUCUGUUAAUCGGGACGAAAGGCCUUCUUGCGAAUAGUGAGAAGGAUUGACGGUACCGGAUUAGAAAGCCACGGCUAACUACGUG
RNAcentral lists this ribosomal RNA (510 nucleotides) under uncultured bacterium. RNAcentral describes it as "partial 16S ribosomal RNA". It matches the Rfam family "Bacterial small subunit ribosomal RNA", at positions 28 to 507 of the family's 1533-position model. The record is from RNAcentral.